UAGAGUUUGAUCCUGGCUCAGAGCGAACGCUGGCGGCAGGCCUAACACAUGCAAGUCGAACGGACUCUUCGGAGUUAGUGGCGGACGGGUGAGUAACACGUGGGAACGUGCCUUUAGGUUCGGAAUAAGCCCGGGAAACUGGGUCUAAUACCGAAUGUGCCCUUCGGGGGAAAGAUUUAUCGCCUUUAGAGCGGCCCGCGUCUGAUUAGCUAGUUGGUGGUGUAAUGGACCACCAAGGCGACGAUCAGUAGCUGGUCUGAGAGGAUGACCAGCCACAUUGGGACUGAGACACGGCCCAAACUCCUACGGGAGGCAGCAGUGGGGAAUCUUGCGCAAUGGGCGAAAGCCUGACGCAGCCAUGCCGCGUGGAUGAUGAAGGUCUUAGGAUUGUAAAAUCCUUUCACCGGUGAAGAUAAUGACUGUAGCCGGAGAAGAAGCCCCGGCUAACUUCGUGCCAGCAGCCGCGGUAAUACGAAGGGGGCUAGCGUUGCUCGGAAUUACUGGGCGUAAAGGGAGCGUAGGCGGACAUUUAAGUCAGGGGUGAAAUCCCAGAGCUCAACUCUGGAACUGCCUUUGAUACUGGGUGUCUUGAGUGUGAGAGAGGUAUGUGGAACUCCGAGUGUAGAGGUGAAAUUCGUAGAUAUUCGGAAGAACACCAGUGGCGAAGGCGACAUACUGGCUCAUUACUGACGCUGAGGCUCGAAAGCGUGGGGAGCAAACAGGAUUAGAUACCCUGGUAGUCCACGCCGUAACGAUGAUUGCUAGUUGUCGGGAAGCUUGCUUCUCGGUGACGCAGCUAACGCAUUAAGCAAUCCGCCUGGGGAGUACGGUCGCAAGAUUAAAACUCAAAGGGAAUUGACGGGGGCCCGCACAAGCGGUGGAGCAUGUGGUU
Molecule: ribosomal RNA, 892 nt
Filed under: uncultured bacterium
Lineage: Bacteria
Description: bacterial SSU rRNA
Rfam family: Bacterial small subunit ribosomal RNA
Source: RNAcentral